UCCAGUCCAAUUAUACAGCCCCAAAAUAGAAAAAUGCGGAAAUAUAAACCUACUUUAUUCUAGGCUAAUUCUAAACUAUCCUCCAUUGCUUUCUCUACCCGAUGUUCCGGGCCUUGAUCGUGUGCCGUCUUCAAGUACAUGAUACUUCAGGGCAUCCCCCGGUGAAUAAAUACAAUUCCUUCGGGGCAUUCCCCAGCAAAUAAAUACAAUGUCAAUCUCAUGCGAUAAACUAGAAAACUUCCAACACGUUCAACAUUCCACGCAUUCAACCAAAACAUCAUUCCUAAGUUUGUCUACCCGAACCUAAACUUUGCCUAUCCCAUUUCAACAUAUCAUAAAUCUAUCACAUUCAUGCUUAUUCCGAACUUAAGCAAAACAACGAUAAACCAACAUUAAUCUAACUUCAACCUUUUUAUCAUUCUCGCAAUUCCACUCCUCCCCACAAAUUUCCUCUCAAUCUAUGGUUAAUUAAUUCUUUGAUUAACAAUUCAUUUUUUCUCUUCAACAUACAAAACCUAUAUCAAUCAAUACACAACAAAGAUACAAACAUACCAAACACACAAAUCAUUCACGAUUACGUAAAAUUAAAGAAAGAGAAGAUAGAAUUGGACCUCAAAAGCUUUCGAUUGACUUAAGAAGAGAAAAUAAGAGCCGUCUUGAAACCUCGAAGAAUACCACUAAUAUCGACUCUCCAAAUCAGUUAUGAACUCAUCACCGCGAUAAACCCAAAAUUUGAUUCAAAGUGAAAUCCAAGAAGAACCAGAGACAAGUACACAGUCAUCCAAAAAAUCAAAACCCGUACACGAAAUCUCACCUAAUUCGACCCAAAUCUCAUCGGAAUCAAACCAAAAGGAUCGAUAUAACACUGAUAUAUCCCCUUUAAAAUGAAUGAGAAUAAUCUUUGGAAUUUUUACCCGUUAAACAGUAUGUUUUGCUGAAACAGAGCAAUAGGCUCCCGGCUCAACCAUUUUUCCGACCAAACUCGUCAGAAAACCGAUUGGCGGACGUGAAUCAACGGUGGAUAUUGGUGGUUUUGGUGGAUUCAGGGUUCAGACACCAACCAAUAGCCCUUUUUCAGUGGUUUCGAAUGGAUUUUGUGAUGUUUUGAUGCGUUUUCGGCGAAGACGUCACCGGAACAGUAACACAAACUUAUUUUUCUCCCUCAACCCCAUCUACCCCUUUUCUCUCUUGGUUACCCACUCUCUCUCUUCGUUAAUCUCUCUUUAUUGCUCCGAAGAAGAAAAGAAAACCCCUCCCUCUUUACUAUGAAGUGUGUGGAGAGUCUCUGUUGUAAUGUGUGAGAGGUCUCAAUUGUGAAUGAUGCUGAUGGGGUCCCUCUUUUAUGUAGAAGACGAUGGUGUAUAAAUAUGCUUUUCCUUUUUUUUGUGGACAAAAAAGUGGGGGGAGGGGUCACGUGGGGUAGGAUAUGGAUGAGGUGUAAAAGUUGGUUAAGAUAAGGAAUAUUAUGGAUUAGGCAUUCAAUUUGUUAGAAUUUGGUUAUUAUUUGUUUCCUUAUGGGGAGAUUAUCAUGCGGGGUAGGAUACAAUGUAAGACGAGGGUAAAAAUGGGUAAAUUAAAUUCGAGAUGGGACAAAAUUACGUGUCUACAUC
Molecule: long non-coding RNA, 1610 nt
Filed under: Capsicum annuum
Lineage: Eukaryota; Viridiplantae; Streptophyta; Magnoliopsida; Solanales; Solanaceae
Description: long non-coding RNA (CANN_LNC003581)
Source: RNAcentral